UUGCGGGUUCGAGCCCCGUCCCGGGCCAGUUCUUUUAUUCCAGAAGGUUCUAAAUUUAAUUUAAUUAAUUAUUUAUUUAUUUAAUUAUUAAUUUAGUUACGAGAUGGCGCCUAACGCUUACCUCUUAAGACAAAUUGCUUUGGUUCUAAUCAUUUUAAGUAGCCAUAUUAUAGCCCGUUAUUCAGGCGAUCGUUUGGAAGUUUAGCAUGUGUAUAGAGUUACAGACGAUUGGCGAAGCAUGACGCCAUGCCAUGACGUCAUGUUGCAGACCUGCGAUAGAGCGACGACCAGAGUACUGAUUGGUUGGCCAGCGCACAGUCGACAACUAUAUAAAAUCGACGUGGAAGGGGGAAGUUCAAAUUUAUCCAACCGAGAUGUCGAAGCCACUUUGUAAGGAAAUACUUUAGCUGAUUGUGAAACACCCAGCAGAGGUGAAACGUUCAGGAGAUUGCCGAAUGCCUCAAGAUAUCAACGAGAAGGGUAUGGCGCGACCUCAAGCUACAUCGCGACACAGAGUCUGUGUCGCCAUGGAAAGAUCACAAAAUUGAGCUGGAUCUGUAGAUAAGGUCAAGAGAAGGUUACGACAAUUCAAUUUACAUGGAAGGCAGGCAGCUCAGAAGCUGGCCCUCAUCAUUACUAACCAAUUUGACUAGCUGGGGUUUGCCCAAACUUACUAUCGUUGGGACGUGGCGACCGGGUCAGUGUUGUAUUCACUGACGAGCAGGUCUUUUGUUCAACAAGUAGCAGAACCGUGUGGGUGCAUUGCUUACCCUCCAUCAGGUUUAACCCAGAAUACGUGUGGCGCACCCAAAGAAGCGGUCGCUUCUCGUUAGGUGUAUGGGGAUAGAUGAUAGCUGCAGAACCCGGGGAGUUAGUCCGGAUAUACGGUCACCUCACCGCCGUACAAUACAUAGAGAUCCUCGAGCCGACAUUGAGGGCCGUCUAUGACAAAGAACAGUCCUACUUCGUUCACAACCACUCCCCGGUACAUACAGCCAGAGUGUGUACGCAGUGGAUGGAAGAACAGCCACAGAUCAUAGACACGGGAUGGCCAGGGAGAGGGACAGACCUCAACCCCAUUGAAAACGUAUGCGCUCAGCUCUGCUACGACCGCAUUCGGGCAGCAACUCCCAAUGAACUGUGGGAAAUCGUCAGAGUUCGUUGGGAAAAGCUUUGUGAGGGCAUACUUUGUCAAAAUCUUGUGUCAAGUAUGCCCGAGCGACUGAAUGACGUCGUGGACACAGGGUUGGAAUGCAGACGAGGAUCUGACCCUCUCCCCUCCAUCCGCGAUUUUUAUUUUUGUUUAAAAUGUGUUAAGAAAACAGAAGUUUUUAUCUUAAUUCCGUCAUUAGAAGGCUUCUUUCAAAAUCAUGCUUAGAAAAAUGUAUAGAUUUUGAUUAUUGAAAUAAAUAUUCAUUAGAAAUUUAAAAAAGUGUAUAUAUUUAUUUUGUUUUAAUAUGUCGAAAAUGGC
This is a long non-coding RNA of Centruroides sculpturatus (bark scorpion), 1471 nucleotides long. RefSeq lists it as uncharacterized. The transcript is spliced from 3 exons. Lineage: Eukaryota; Metazoa; Arthropoda; Arachnida; Scorpiones; Buthidae. The record is from RefSeq and is a predicted model, not a curated record.